AUGUGUUGGCUCAAGUUGGAGGGGUUCGAGCAAACGGUUCACGAUGCUUGGGUGUGUCCGGGGGAGAUCUUUGACCCUUUCAAGAGGCUCGAUUGCUUACUUCAUAACACUGCGACCGCUCUUCAGGCAUGGGGGCAGAAGAAGACGGACAACGUUAGGGUUCAGAUGGCCAUUGCCAACUACAUCAUCUUGAAGUUGGAUCGGGCCAUGGAAUCACGUGAGCUUUCUGCCAAUGAGGGAUGGCUAAGGGGUAGUAUCAAGCAUGCGUUGUUGGGUUUGGCCUCUCUACAGCGGACCAUAGAAAGGCAGAGAUCACGUUUAAAGUGGAUCAGGGAGGGCGAUGCCAACACUAAACUUCUUCAGGCGGUGGCGAAUGGCCAACGAUCCAAGAAUUUCAUCCCACACGUGAGGCAUAAUGGCGAGUUGAUAGUGGAUCAAAGAUGGAAGGAAGACAUUUUUUCGGAGGCAUAUGAACAACUAUUGGGUACAGCUCACCAGCCCCGUUGA
Molecule: ribosomal RNA, 507 nt
Filed under: Triticum aestivum (bread wheat)
Lineage: Eukaryota; Viridiplantae; Streptophyta; Magnoliopsida; Poales; Poaceae
Description: partial small subunit ribosomal RNA
Source: RNAcentral